UUUUUUUUUGUGACUAGACUCGACUUCGGCCAAGGAGUGUGGAAGGGGGUUCCUACAGGCAGUCGGCUCUGACAGCAACUUGUGAUGCCCUUGAUUCAAUCGUACACUAAUCAUGCACGCAAACGUGUAGGAUCAAGAUCAGGGACUCACGGGAAGAUAUCACAACAUAACUCUAAAAGUAAAUUAAGUCAUACAAGCAUCAUAUUACAAGCCAGGGGCCUCGAGGGCUCGAAUACACGUGCUCGAACAUAAACAAGUCAGCGGAAGCAACAAUAUCUGAGUACAGACAUAAGUUAAACAAGUUACCAUAAGAUGGCUAGCACAAACUGGGAUACAGAUCGAAAGAGGCGCAUGCCUCCUGCCUGUGAUCCUCUUAAACUACUCCUCAUUGGCGGCAACCUGAACGUAGUAGUUGGAACCCUCAGUGUAGGAGGGGUCAUCGUCGAAGGUGGCGUCUAUCUCCUGGGCUCCAACAUCUUGUUGCGGCAUCCGAGAAGAAGAGGAAAAAAGGGGGGGAGAGGGAACAAAGCAACCGUGAGUACUCAUCCAAAGUACUCGCGAGCAAGGAUCUACACUACAUAUGCACGGGUAUAUGUGUAAAGAGGCAAUAUCGGUGGACUGAACUGCAGGAUGUCAGAAUAAGAGGGGGAUAGCUAGUCCUAUUGAAGACUACGCUUCUGGAAGCCUCCAUCUUGCAGCAUGUAGAAGAGAGUAGAUUGAAGUUCACCAAGUAUCAUCGCAUAGCAUAAUCCUACCCGGCGAUCCUCCCCUCAUCGCCCUGUGGGAAAGCGAUAACCGGGAUGUCUCUGGAAAUUGUCUGGGUGUUUUAUUAAGUAUCUAGUUCUAGUUGUCAUAAGGUCAAGGUACAACUCUGGGUCGUCCUUUUACCGAGGGACACGACUAUUCGAAUAGAUAAACUUCCCUGCAGGGGUGCACCACAUUUCCCAACAUGCUCGAUCCCUCUGUCUGGACACACUUUCCUGGGUCAUGCCGGCCUUGGAAGAUCAACACGUCGUCGCCCCGCCUCGGCACAACAGAGAGGUCAACACGCCGUCUAAAUCCUAUGCACGUAGGGGUCUGUGCCCAUCGCCCAUUGCACACCUGCAUAUUGCGAACGCGGCUGGUGAGCAGACCUAGCCUCCCUUAUACAAGAGCAGGCGCUCCAGACCAACCCGACGCGCGCUGCUCAGUUGUUGAUGUCAAGAAGGCUUCGGCUGAUACCACGACAUCGAGUGCCCAUAACUGUUCUCGCGUAGUUGGUUAGUGCGUAUAGGCCAGUGGCCAGACUCAGAUCAAGUACCAAGAUCUCAUUAAGCAUGUUAUUUUGUAGUAACCACAGAGCCGACCAGGGUCAGGCCCACCUCUCGCCUAGGUGAUCUCAACCUGCUCUCUCGCUCGGCCACAAAGAUCAACUCACGGGUACUCUACGAGUUGACCCGACUUUAGUCACCAUCUAUAUAGUAUGUAUGUAUGUAUAAUAUAUACCCGUGAUCACCUCCCGAGUGAUGAUGGCCUGAUAGUAUAGCAAGGCAGACGGACAAGAAUGUAGGGCCACAGAUGAUAAACUAGCAUCCUAUACUAAGCAUUUAGGAUUGCAUAUAAGGUAUCAACAACUGUAGCAACAUUGACAGGCUAUGCAACAAAAUAGGAUUAACCGAAAUAGUAACAUGCUACACUACUCUAAUGCAGGCAGUAGAGGGAAGAAUAGGCGAUAUCUGGUGAUCGGGGGGGCUUGCCUGGUUGCUUUGGCAAGAAGGAGGGGUCGUCAACUCCGUAGUCGACCGGGGCAGCAGCGACGUCGGUCUCCUAGUCUACCGGAGAGAAGCGGGGGAAGAAACAAUAAAUAUAAUGCAAACAUAAGCAUGAUGAAGCAUGACAUGACAAUGAGCGGUGCUAAGUGUGCCCUAACGUGGUAGUAGGUGAUAUCGGCGAAGGAGGAAACAUCCGGGAAAGUAUCCCCGGUGUUUCACAUUUUCGGACAGAUGAACCGGAGGUGAAAUUUUGCGUGUUCGCUAUGCUAUGGACGUGUGGCUGACGAACAGGCUGCAUAUUCGGAUUCGUCUCGUCGUUCUGAGCAACUUUUCAUGUACAAAGUAUUUUCAUCCGAGCUACGGUUUAUUUUAUAUUAAUUUCCAAUGUUUUAAAUCAUUUUUGGAAUUAAAAGAAUUAAUUUGAUUUGAAAAUUAUUUUAUGACAUCAUCAUGAUGUCAACAUGACGUCAGCGGUCAAAUCUGACCGUUGACUGGUCAAACUAACAAGUGGGGCCCGCUGUCAUUGACUUAGAUUAACAACACAUGAUUAGUUUAUUUAAAUAAGUGAUUAGGUUAAUUAAUUAGAGUUAAUUAAAUUAAUUAUUAUUUUUAUUUUUAUUUUUAUAUAUAUUUUCAAAUUGUUCUGGGGCGGGGCCCCCUAGCAUUGGCCCCAAGGGGCGCACGGGCGAAACGGGCAGCGGGCACCUGCGCGUGGCUGAACUCGGCACAGCGCUGCGAGGCACCGGGGCCACGGUGCUGGCCAGGCGGCCGGAGCGGCGGCCGCCGCGGUGAGAGGCUGCGCAGGGACACGGGGCGGCGGUGGUCGGCGAGCAGCUGCAGCGGGGCGGAGCAGGAGAAGCGGCAGGGUGGAGCCGGUGGUGAGAGGGGCCCAGCAGUGGGCGCGACGUAAAGAGUGGGGCGGCGAGGUUGCGUGGUGGGCGAGGGCGCUGGCCGCAGCCGUGACAGAACAGCAGUAGGCGGGAGGCACAAGCCAAGGCGGCUAGCUUCUGUCGGCCGGACGGUGCAGCGGAGUUGAGGGCGGAGUGCAGCGAGGCGCGGGCAGGCACGGGCGACCGCGGGGUGUGCACGGGGGCGGAUGUCAGGGAGGCGGAGGAGGGCCGCGGCCGUAGGUGGGCGCGGGGCACCGGGGCGCACCGGCAUGCGGGCAGCGCGAGCGCGCACGCGACAAGCGGCCAGGCUUAAAAGCGGGAGGCGAGCGCGACCACUAUGGAGCGGGCACGCGACACUGCAGCAUGGCGCGGGUGCCAUGUGUGUGCGGGACAGCGCGUGCGCUGGACGAGGGAAAAAGGAGGUCACGGUCCUCACCGUGCGACAUAGGGCACGGGGCAGUGGGGCGUGGGGAGGAGGUCGGAGACGGAGUUUCGGCGAGGAUGCAGGCCGUCGAGGGCGCGUUCCGGCGAGGUCCAGGCGGCACCGGGGGCGUCGGGUGGCGGGGGGGUUCCGAGCGGCGGCGGCAGUUCUUCCCCCAGAUCCAAUCGGGGGGCAGAGGAGGGGAGAGGGGGGUCAAGGGAGUGGGGGAGUGGGGGCGAAGUGGGGGGGUUAGGGUUUGGGGGGAACGAGGCCAUAUAUGGCAGGGGGUUGGGGUGGGCCGGCCUGGCUGUUAUCUGGGCCAAGGCCCAGGGGAAAGGGGGUUUUCUUUUUCGUUUUUUUUUUUUGGUUUUCUAUUUUCUAUUUUCCCUUUUUCUUUAUUUUUCUUUACUGUUUUCAUUCACUUCAAACAUAUAGGCCUUUUUAUAAAAAGCACGGUUUCUUCAUGAGAAAUAGUUAGGGAAUAUUUUCGACACAUCGAACAUUUUUCCUUAUCAGUUGGAAGAAAUAAAAUUUGACUUGUUUUUUUUGGAAUUUGAAUUUGACCUUAGUUUGAAACAAGUGAGGUUUAGCAAAAUUUUAAUUAUGAUGACUUGGCAUCAUUUAGAGGGUCACUGUAGCUUAACUAUCCAGGCGUUACAAUUCUACAUCAAAAAUUCUGUUUUUAUCAUUUACCUACUCGAGGACGAGCAAGAAUUAAGCUUGGGGAUGUUUGAUACGUCUCCAACGUAUCUAUAAUUUUUUAUUGUUCCAUGCUAUUAUAUUAACUGUUUUGGCUGUUUUAUAUGCAUUUAUAUGUUAUUUUAUAUUAUUUUUGGGACUAAACUAUUUACCUAGAGCCCAGUGCCAGUUUAUAUUUUCUCCUUGCUUUUGAGUUCUACAGAAAAGGAAUACCAAACGGAAUCCAAAUGAGCUAAAACUUUACGAUGAUUUUUUAUGGACCAGAAGAAGCCCGCGGAGUAUUAGAGAUGGACCAGAAGAGCCACGAGGCAUCCACAAGGGUGAAGGGCGCCCCUAGAGCGCGCCCCCUGCCUUUUCGUCUCCUCGUGGACCCCCUGUCUUGUCCCCGACACAAAAAAUUCUUAUAAAUAGAGAAAACACCAGAAAGAAACCAAGAUCAGGAGUUCCGCCGCCGCAAGCCUCUGUAGCCAUGAAAAACCAAUCGGAAGCCCAUUCCGGCACCCUGCCGAAGGGGGGAACCAUCACUGGUGGCCAUCUGCAUCAUCCCGGCGGUCUCCAUGACGAGGAGGGAGUAGUUCACCCUCGGGCUGAGGGUAUGUACCAGUAGCUAUGUGUUUGAUCUCUCUCUCUCGUGUUCUUGAUUUGGCACGAUCUUGAUGUACCGCAAGCUAUGCUACUAUAGUUGGAUCAUAUCGUGUUUCUCCCUCUCUAACUUCUUGUGAUGAAUUGAGUUUUACCUUUGAGGUUACACUAUUAUCGGAUUGAAUACUUUUAUGGAUUUGAGAACACUUCAUGUAAGUCUUGUGUGGGAUACCCGUAGUGACAAUGGGGUGUUCUAUUGAUUCACUUGAUGUAUGUUUUGGCACUCAACUCGUGGAUUCCGGAGGUGACAUUGGGGUAAUCUACGCAUAGGGGUUGAUGCACGUUUUCAUCCAUGUUUCUCCGAUAGAAACCUUGGGGCACUCUUUGAAGUUCUUUGUGUUGGAUUGAAUAUUAUGAAUUUGAAGUUGUUUGAUGCAUAUGGUAUAAUUGACCCAUGGAUACUUUUGGUGACAUUGGAGUAUCUAGGUGACAUUAGGGUUGAUUGAUGUGUGUCAUAUGGUGUUAUUUUACUACGAACUCUAGGGUUGUUUGUGACACUUAUAGGAAUAGCUCAAUGGAUUGAUUGGAAAUAAUAACUUUUAGGUGGUUUCGUACCCUACGAGCAAUUUCAUCUUAUGUUCUCCAUGAUAGGAACUUUCGAGUGAUUCUUCAUUGCACGUUGAUGGAUUAUUAUAUGAUCCAAUUAUGUUAUCAUUGUUGAGAGAACUUUCUCUAGUGAAAGUAUGAACCCUAGGCCUUGUUUCCAAGCAUUGCAAUACCGUUUUGGCUCACUUUUGUUACUAGUUACCUUGCUGUUUUUAUAUUUUCAGAUUACAAAAACCUAUAUCUACCAUCCAUAUUACACUUGUAUCACCAUCUCUUUGCCGAACUAGUGCACCAAUACAAUUUACCAUUGUAUUGGGUGUGUUGGGGACACAAGAGACUCCUUGUUAUUUGGUUGCAGGCUUGUUUGAGAGAGACCAUCUUCAUCCUACGCCUCCCAUGGAUUGAUAAACCUUAGGUCAUCCACUUGAUGGAAAUCUACUAUUGUCCUACAAAACUCUGCGCUUAGAGGCCCAACACGAGUCUAAAAGAAAAAGGUUGCGUAGUAGACAUCAGGGUGCGACCGCCUAUGUUGGGGAACAUAGUAAUUUAAAAAAAAGAUCCUACACACACGCAAGAUCAUGGUGAUGCAUAGCAACGAGAGGGGAGAGUGUUGUCCACGUACCCUCAUAGACCGAUAGCGGAAGCAUUAUAACAACGCGGUUGAAGUAGUCGUACGUCUUCACGUCCCGACCGAUCAAGCACCGAAACUACGGCACCUCCAAGUUCUAGCACAUGUUCAGCUCGAUGACGAUCCCCGGACUCUGAUCCAGCAAAGUGUCGGGGAAGAGUUCUGUCAGCACGACAGCAUGGUGACGAUCUUGAUGUUCUACCGUCGCAGCGCUUCGCCUAAGCACCGCUACAGUAUUAUCGAGGUGGACUAUGGUGGAGGGGGGCACCGCACACGGCUAAGAGAUCCAAGGGAUCAAUUGUUGUUGUUGUGCCUAGAGGUGUCCCCUUGCCCCCGUAUAUAAAGGAUCCAAGGGGAGGGGGUCGGCCGGCCAGGAGGGGCGCGCCAGGAGGAGUCCUCCUCCCACCGGGAGUAGGACUCCCCCCCCCCUUCCUUGUUGGAGUAGGAGAGAAGGAAAGAGGGGGAGAGGAGGAAGGAAAAGGGGGCUGCACCCCUUGUCCAAUUCAGACCAGAGGGGGGCUGCGCGCCUCCUUCCUUUUGGCCUCUCUCCUCUAUUCCCGUAAGGCCCAAUAAGGCCCAUAUACUCCCCGGCGAAUUUCCGUAACUCUCUGGUACUCCGAAAAAUACCCGAAUCACUCAGAACCUUUCCGAAGUCCGAAUAUAGUCGUCCAAUAUAUCGAUCUUUACGUCUUGACUAUUUCAAGACUCCUCGUCAUGUCUCCGAUCUCAUCCAGGACUCCGAACUCCUUCGGUACAUCAAAACUCAUAAACUCAUAAUAUAACUAUCAUCGAAACCUUAAGCGUGCGUACCCUACGGGUUCGAGAACUAUGUAGACAUGACCUAGAAUUGUUUCCGGUCAAUAACCAAUAGCGGAACAUGGAUGCUCAUAUUGGCUCCCACAUAUUCUACGAAGAUCUUUAUCGGUCAGACCGCAUAACAACAUACGUUGUUCCCUUUGUCAUCGGUAUGUUACUUGCCCAAGAUUCGAUCGGUAUCUCAAUACCUAGUUCAAUCUCGUUAUCGGCAAGUCUCUUUACUCGUUACGUAAUACAUCAUCCCGCAACUAACUCAUUAGUUGCAAUGCUUGCAAGGCUUACAGUGAUGUGCACUACCGAGUGGGCCCAGAGAUACCUCUCCGACAAUCGGAGUGACAAAUCCUAAUCUCGAAAUACGCCAACCCAACAUGUACCUUCGGAGACACCUAUAGAGCUCCUUUAUAAUCACCCGGUUACGUUGUGACGUUUGGUAGCACACAAAGUGUUCCUCCGGUAAACGGGAGUUGCAUAAUCUCAUAGUCAUAGGAACAUGUAUAAGUCAUGAAGAAAGCAGUAGCAACAUACUAAACGAUCAAGUGCUAAGCUAACGGAAUGGAUCAAGUCAAUCACAUCAUUCUCCUAAUGAUGUGAUCCCGUUAAUCAAAUGACAACUCUUUGUCCAUGGCUAGAAAACAUAACCAUCUUUGAUUAAUGAGCUAGUCAAGUAGAGGCAUACUAGUGACACUCAGUUUGUCUAUGUAUUCACACAUGUAUCGUGUUUCCGGUUAAUACAAUUCUAGCAUGAAUAAUAAACAUUUAUCAUGAAAUAAGGAAAUAAAUAAUAACUUUAUUAUUGCCUCUAGGGCAUAUUUCCUUCAGUCUCCCACUUGCACUAGAGUCAAUAAUCUAGUUCACAUCAUCAUGUGAUUUAAUACCAAUAUUCAUAUCUGUAUAUGAUUAACACCCAUAGUUCACAUCGUCAUGUGACCAACACCCAAAGGGUUUACUAGAGUUAAUAAUCUAGUUCACAUUGCUAUGUGAUUAACACCCAAAGAGUACUAAGGUAUGAUCAUGUUUUGCUCGUGAGAGAAGUUUAGUCAACGGGUCAGUCACAUUCAGAGCCGUAUGUAUUUUGCAAAUAAUCUAUGUCUACAAUGCUCUGCACGGAGCUACUCUAGCUAAUUGCUCCCACUUUCAAUAUAUCCAGAUAGAGACUUAGAGUCAUCUAGAUCGGUGUAAAAGCUUGCACCGAUGUAACUCUUUACGACGGGCUCUUUUUAUCACCUCCAUAAUCGAGAAACAUCUCCUUAGUCCUCACUAAGGAUAUUCUUGACCGUUGUCCAGUGAUCUACUCUUAGAUCAAAAUUGUAUUCCUUUGCCAAAAUCAGAGCAAGGUAUACAAUAGGUCAGGUACACAGCAUAGCAUACUUUAUAGAACCUAUGACUGAAACAUAGGGAAUGACUUUUCAUUCUCUUUCUAUUUUCUGCCAUGGUCGGGUUUUGAGUCUUACUCAACUUCACACCUUGCAACACAAGCAAGAACUCUUUCUUUGACUGUUCCAUUUUGAACUACUUCAAAAUCUUGUCAAGGUAUGUACUCAUUGAAAAAUCUUAUCAAGCGUCUUGAUCUAUCUCUAUAGAUCUUGAUGCUCAAUGUGUAAGCAGCUUCAUCGAGGUCUUUCUUUGAAAAACUCCUUUCAAACACUCCUUUAUGCUUUCCAGAAAAUUCUACAUCAUUUCCAAUCAACAAUAUGUCAUUCACAUGUACUUAUCAGAAAGACUGUAGUGCUCCCACUCACUUUCUUGUAAAUACAGGCCUUUCCAAAAGUCUGUAUAAAACCAUAUGCUUUGAUCAACUCAUCAAAGCGUAUAUUCCAAUCCGAGAUGCUUGCACCAGUCCAUUGAUGGAUCGCUGGAGCUUGCACAUUUUGUUAGCACCUUUCGGAUCGACAAAACCUUCUGGUUGCAUCAUAUACAACUCUUCUUCUUGAAAUCCAUUCAGGAACACAGUUUUGAUAUCCAUUUGCCAGAUUUCGUAAAAUGUGGCAAUUGCUAACAUGAUUCAGAUAGACUUAAGCAUCGUUAUGAGUGAGAAAAUCUCAUCAUAUUCAACACCUUGAACUUGUCCAAAACCUUUCGCAACAAGUCGAGCUUUGUAGAUAGUAACACUACUAUCAGUGUCCGCCUUCCUCUAGAAGAUCCAUUUAUUUAACUUGGCUUGUUGAUCAUCAGGCAAGUCAACCAAAGUCCAUACUUUGUUCUCAUACAUGGAUCCCUAUCUUAGAUUUUAUGGCCUCAAGCCAUUUCGCGGAAUCUGGGCUCACCAUCGCUUCUUCAUAGUUCAUAGGUUCAUCAUGGUCUAGUAACAUGACUUCUAGAACAGGAUUACCGUACCACUCUGGUACGAAUUUUAUUCUGGUUGAUCUACGAGGUUCAGUAACAACUUGAUCUGAAGUUCCAUGAUCAUCAUCAUUAACUUCCUCACUAAUUGGUGUAGGUGUCACAGGAACAGAUUUCUGUGAUGAGCUACUUUCCAAUAAGGGAGCAGGUACAGUUACCUCAUCAAGUUCUACUUUCCUCCCACUCACUUCUUUCAAGAGAAACUCCUUCUCCAGAAAGUUUCUGAACUUAGCUACAAACGUUUUUCCUUCGGAUCUGUGAUAGAAGGUGUACCCAACGGUCUCCUUUGGGUAUCCUAUGAAGACACAUUUCUCCGAUUUGGGUUCGAGCUUAUUAGGUUGAAGCUUUUUCACAUAAGCAUCGCAGGCCCAAACUUUCAGAAAUGACAACUUUGGUUUCUUGCUAAACCACAGUUCAUAAGGCGUCGUCUCAACGGAUUUUGAUGGUGCCAUAUUUAAAGUGAAUGCAGCUCUCUCUAAUGCAUAACCCCAAAACGAUAGUGGUAAAUCAGUAAGAGACAUCAUAGAUUGCACUAUAUCCAAUAAAGUACCGUUAUGAUGUUCGGACACACCAUAACGCUGUGGUGUUCCAUGUGGCGUGAGCUGUGAAGCUGUUCCACAUUUUUUAUAUGAAGGCCAAACUCGUAACUCAAAUAUUCUUCUCCAUGAUCAGAUCGUAGAAACUUUAUUUUCUUGUUACGAUGAUUCUCCACUUCACUCUGAAAUUCUUUGAACUUUUCAAAUGUUUCAGACUUGUGUUUCAUUAAGUAGAUAUACUCAUAUCUGCUCAAAUCAUCUUGUGAAGGUCAGAAAAAUAAUGAUACCUGCCACGAGCAUCAACACUCAUUGGACCGCAUACAUCGGUAUGUAUUAUUUCCAAUAAGUCACUAGCUCGUUCCAUUGUUCCGGAGAACGGAGUUUUAGUCAUCUUGCCCAAAAGGCACGGUUCGCAAGCAUCAAAUGAUUCAUAAUCAAGUGAUUCCAAAAGUCCAUUUUUAUGGAGUUUCUUCAUGCGCUUUACACCGAUAUGACCUAAACGGCAGUGCCACAAAUAUGUUGCACUAUCAUUAUCAACUUUGCAUCUUUUGGCAUCAAUAUUAUGAAUAUGUGUAUCACUACGAUCGAGAUCCAACAAACUAUUCUCAUUGGGUGUAUGACCAUUGAAGGUUUUAUUCAUGUAAACAGAACAACAAUUAUUCUCUGACUUUAAAUGAAUAACCGUAUUGCAAUAAACAUGAUCAAAUCAUAUUCAUGCUCAACGCAAACGCCAAAUAACAUUUAUUUAUGUUUAACACUAAUCCCGAAAGUAUAGGGAGUGUGCGAUGAUGAUCAUAUCAAUCUUGGAACCACUUCCAACACACAUCGUCACUUCACCCUCAACUAGUCUCUGUUUAUUCUGUAGCUCAUGUUUCGAGUUACUAAUUUUUAGCAACCGAACAAGUAUCAAAUACUCAGGGGCUACUAUAAGCACUAGUAAGGUACACAUUAAUAACAUGUAUAUCAAAUAUACCCUUGUUCACUUUGCCAUCCUUCUUAUUUACCAAAUAAUCAGGGCAUUUCCGCUUCCAGUGACCAUUUCCUUUGCAAUGUAAGCACUCAGUUUCAGGCUUUGGUCCAUCUUUGGUCUUCUUCGCGGGAGUGACAACUUGCUUGCCAUUCUACUUGAAGUUCCCCUUUCUUUCCCUUUGCCCUUUUCUUGCAACUAGUGGUCUUGUCAAUCAUCAACACUUGAUGCUCUUUUCUUGAUUUCUACCUUCGUCGAUUUCAGCAUCACGAAGAGCUCGGGAAUCGUUUUUGUUAUCCCUUGCAUUAUAGUUCAUCACGAAGUUCCAGUAACUUGGUGAUGGUGACUAGAGAACUCUGCCAAUCACUAUCUUAUCUGGAAGAUUAACUCCCACUUGAUUCAAGCGAUUGUAGUACUCAGACAAUCUAAGUACUUGCUCACUAGUUGAGCAAUUCUCCUCCAUCUUUUAGCUAUAGAACUUGUUGGAGACUUCAUAUCUCUCAACUCGGGUAUUUGCUUGAAAUAUUAACUUCAACUCCUGGAACAUCUCAUAUGGCCCAUGACGUUCAAAACGUCUUUGAAGUCCCGAUUCUAAGUCGUUAAGCAUGGUGCACUAAACUAUCAAGUAGUCAUCAUAUUGAGCUAGCCAAACGUUCAUAACGUCUGCAUCUGCUCCUGCAACAGGUAUGUCACCUAGCGGUGCAUCAAGGACAUAAUUCUUCUAUGCAGCAAUGAGGAUAAACCUCAGAUCACGGACCAAGUCUGCAUCAUUUCUACUAACAUCUUUCAACUUAUUUUUCUCUAGGAACACAUAUAAAAAGAUAAGGAAGCAACAACGCGAGCUAUUGAUCUACAACAUAAUUUGCAAAAUACUACCAGGACUAAGUUCAUGAUAAAUUAAAGUUCAAUUAAUCACAUUACUUAAGAACUCCCACUUGGAUAGACAUCCCUCUAAUCCUCUAAGUGAUUACGUGAUCCAUAUCAAAUACACCAUGUCCGAUCAUCACGUGAGAUGGAGUAGUUUCAACGCUGAACAUCAAUAUGUUGAUCGUAUCUACUAUAUGAUUCACGCUCGACCUUUCGGUCUCCGUGUUCUGAGGCCAUAUCUGUUAUAUGCUAGGCUCGUCAAGUUUAACCUGAGUAUUCCGCGUGUGCAACUGUUUUGCACCCAUUGUAUUUGAACGUAGAGCCUAUCACACCCGAUCAUCACGUGGUGUCUCAGCACGAAGAACUUUUGCAACGGUGCAUACUCAGGGAGAACACUUCUUGAUAAUUUUAGUGAGAGAUCAUAUUAAAAUGCUACCGUCAAUCAAAGCAAGAUAAGAUGCAUAAAGGAUAAACAUCACAUGCAAUCAAUAUAAGUGAUAUGAUAUGGCCAUCAUCAUCUUGUGCUUGUGAUCUCCAUCUCCGAAGCACCUCCAUGAUCACCAUCGUCACCGGCGCGACACCUUGAUCUCCAUCGUAGCAUCAUUGUCGUUUACGCCGUCUAUUGCUUCUACGACUAUCCCUACCGCUUAGUGAUAAAGUAAAGCAAUUACAGGGCGUUUGCAUUUCAUACAAUGAAGCGACAACCAUAUGUCUCCUGACAGUUGCCGAUAACUUCGGUUACAAAACAUGAUCAUCUCAUACAAUAAAAUAUAGCAUCACGUCUUGACCAUAUCACAUCACAACAUGCCCUGCAAAAACAAGUUAGACGUCCUCUACUUUGUUGUUGCAAGUUUUACGUGGCUGCUACGGGCUUAGCAAGAACCGUUCUUACCUACGCAUCAAAACCACAACGAUAGUUUGUCAAGUUGGUGCUGUUUUAACCUUCGCAAGGACCGAGCGUAGCCACACUCGGUUCAACUAAAGUGAGAGAGACAGACACCCGCCAGUCACCUUUAAGCACGAGUGCUCAUAACGGUGAAACCAGUCUCGCGUAAGCGUACGCGUAAUGUCGGUCCGGACCGCUUCAUCUCAUAAUACCGCUGAAUCAAAGUAUGACAUGCUGGUAAGCAGUAUGAAUUAUAUCGCCCACAACUCACUUGUGUUCUACUCGUGGAUAUGGCAUCUAAGCAUAAAACCUGGCUCGGAUGCCACUGUUGGGGAACGUAGUAAUUUCAAAAAAAAUCCUACGCACACGCAAGAUCAUGGUGAUGCAUAGCAACGAGAGGAGAGAGUGUUGUCCACGUACCCUCGUAGACCGAUAGCGGAAGUGUUAUAACAACGCGGUUGAAGUAGUCGUACGCCUUCACGGCCCGACAGAUCAAGCACCGAAACUACGACACCUCCGAGUUCUAGCACACGUUUAGCUCGAUGACGAUCCCCGGACUCCGAUCCAGCAAAGUGUCGGGGAAGAGUUCUGUCAGCACGAUGGUGUGGUGACGAUCUUGAUGUUCUACCGUCGCAGGGUUUCGCCUAAGCACCGCUACAGUAUUAUCGAGGUGGACUAUGGUGGAGGGGGGCACCGCACGCGGCUAAGAGAUCCAAGGGAUCAAUUGUUGUUGUUGUGCCUAGAGGUGCCCCCCUGCCCUCGUAUAUAAAGGAGCCAGGGGGAGGGGGUCGGCCGGCCAGGAGGGGCGCGCCAGGAGGAGUCCUCCUCCCACCGGGAGUAGGACUCCCCCCUUCCUUGUUGGAGUAGGAGAGAAGGAAAGAGGGGGAGAGGAGGAAGUAAAAGGGGGCUGCACCCCUUGUCCAAUUCGGACCAGAGGGGGGCUGCGCGCCUCCUUCCUUUCGGCCUCUCUCCUCUAUUCUCGUAUGGCCCAAUAAGGCUCAUAUACUCCCCGGCGAAUUCCCGUAACUCUCCGGUACUCCGAAAAAUACCCGAAUCACUCGAAACCUUUCCGAAGUCCGAAUAUAGUCGUCCAAUAUAUCGAUCUUUACAUCUCGAUCAUUUCGAGACUCCUCGUCAUGUCCCCGAUCUCAUCCGGGACUCCGAACUCCUUCGGUACAUCAAAACUCAUAAACUCAUAAUAUAACUGUCAUCGAAACCUUAAGCGUGCGGACCCUAUGGGUUCGAGAACUAUGUAGACAUGACCUAGAACUGUUUCUUGUCAAUAACCAAUAGCGGAACCUGGAUGCUCAUAUUGGCUCCCACAUAUUCUACGAAGAUCUUUAUCGGUCAGAUCGCAUAACAACAUACGUUGUUCCCUUUGUCAUCGGUAUGUUACUUGCCCGAGACUCGAUCGUCGGUAUCUCAAUACCUAGUUCAAUCUCGUUAUAGGCAAGUCUCUUUACUCGUUACGUAAUACAUCAUCCCGCAACUAACUCAUUAGUUGCGAUGCUUGCAAGGCUUACAGUGAUGUGCAUUACCGAGUGGGCCCAGAGAUACCUCUCCGACAAUCAGAGUGCCAAAUCCUAAUCUCGAAAUACGCCAACCCAACAUGUACCUUCGGAGACACCUGUAGAGCUCCUUUAUAAUCACCCAGUUAUGUUGUGACGUUUGGUAGCACACAAAGUGUUCCUCCGGUAAACGGGAGUUGCAUAAUUUCAUAGUCAUAGGAACAUGUAUAAGUCAUGAAGAAAGCAGUAGCAACAUACUAAACGAUCAAGUGCUAAGCUAACGGAAUGGGUCAAGUCAAUCACAUCAUUCUCCUAAUGAUGUGAUCCCGUUAAUCAAAUGACAACUCUUUGUCCAUGGCUAGGAAACAUAACCAUCUUUGAUUAAUGAGCUAGUCAAGUAGAGGCAUACUAGUGACACUCAGUUUGUCUAUGUAUUCACACAUGUAUCAUGUUUCAAUUCUAGCAUGAAUAAUAAACAUUUAUCAUGAAAUAGGGAAAUAAAUAAUAACUUUGUUAUUGCCUCUACGGCAUAUUUCCUUCAGCCUAUUAUGGCUGGCGGCUCGGGUGUGCCAUUUAUAUGGUCCAGUGGGAGCGAGGCGGGCGGCGGUCAAAGGUUGUCUCGCUCCCGGUGAGCCUGCGCGGCGGACUUCUGGCAUUCCUACCAUCAUUUCACACAGCUACUCGCAUGCCUCCUAGUGACAGUACGCAGCGAAAACGCCUCCCGUCAAUUCACACACCUGCAUGCAGGCCUCCUAGUCUGCCUGCAUGGUGGAUUGCUCGCAUGCGUACCGUAAACUCACGCCUGCUCUCACGACACAAGGGGCGUGUGGCAGUAGUUAUUUUUUUUUUGUUUUUUGAUAAUUCAUUCUACCGCUUUACUGCUUAACCGAAGCAUGGCAGGUCUAAUGCACAUGAUUCGAAUAAAUAAUCCGUAUGAGAUAUUGGUUGCCAGUUAUUAACAAUCUCCCAUUUGUAAGAAGAUUAUAUCGGAACUUGUCUCAAAUUUGCCGGAAAAAAUACAACACUCUCAAAUUUGUCUACUAGUGGCCAUAUAUGACACCACAAUAAUUUUCAUGAAUUUCAACUAAGUUUGGAUUUACUGAAUUUGAAAAAUCAACACUCUCAAUCUUUUGAAAUCUCUUGCACGGGGAAACAUGCACCCAGGGACAGACAUAUGAUUUUGUAAUCCAUUUUGGUGCACACAUGUACCUCAAAUUUGAUUUUUGGACAUUAAAUCCCUAGGAAAUCAGUCAAUGUAUAAAACGAGUCAAAUGAUCUCUAUUUUUUUCAAACUUUAAGAUGACACUCCUUUGGUCACAUGUUCACUGCAGAAAAAGUUUGACAUGCCUCAGAGUGGUGCGGGAUGUGUGUCUGUGUGUGGGGGGGGGGGUCCGGCAGUGCACUACUAGUUGUGAGCCUCCGUGAUGUGGGAUUAUUAAUCAUUUUGUGAGUCAUGUAUAUAUGCCACAUCAAAGUCGUGAAUUGGUUAUUUAAAGCAUUACACAACCUUUUCAUACAUACAUGUUCGGGCCACAUGCAUGCAUUGGUGGUCCUCUCGGACACUCCCUCGUGCGGUUAGCAACGACGUGCCCAUUCGUUAGCCCGCAAAGGUUUUCAUUUUCCACCAACAACGAGAGGCAUCUGACCGAAGGUGGAUUCAUCUUGGCAUGUGUGUUACUGUGUGGAUCAUGGUGAGAUUCCAUAUCAAUGUUCGGGCACGUGCGUACACAUGAGUCCCUCCCACCGGCUCAAAGUGAGGGCGCUACGCAUAUUGUGAACCUCUGUGUAGUGCAUUUUCAGUUUGUGAAGCAUGUGCCAUGUCAAAGUUGUGAAUUGGGUAUUCAAACAUCACACAACACACAACAACAUGCAUGCGGUGGUUGUCCUAUGACACUCGCUCGCAAGUGACUCUCUCUCUAUGGGCCCGUGAGGUCUUCGUCGAUCAAUUGAACAUACAAUGAGAGAGAGGUUAAUUGACCAAAAAGGAUGGUUCUUGUUUUGUUUGUGUUACGUAUGUGCACGGUAGGAGUAUGUAGUACAUGUCAAAGAGGGGGCAACAUGUAUACUCUCUAUAUAUGUGUCAUAACCUGGCCCCAUGUGGGGACUUUCCGGUUCCCGAGGCAGGUGCCACAUCAAAAUUGUGCAUUGGUAUUCAAACAUCAUGCAAUACCAUGUGCUACGUCUUGAGCUUGCGUUGGUUUUCCUUGAAGAGGAAAGGGUGAUGCAACAAUAGUAGCGUAAGUAUUUCCCUCGGUUUUUGAGAACCAAGGUAUCAAUCCAGUAGGAGGCUCCUCAAAAGUCCCACGCACCUACACAAACAAACAAAGAACUCGCAACCAACGCAAUAAAGGGGUUCUCAAUCCCUUCACGGCCACUUGCGAAAGUGAGAUCUGAUAGAGAUAGUAUGAUAAGAUAAAUAUAUUUUUGCUAUUUUAUAAUAUAGAUGCAAAAAGUAAAGAUGCAAAUAAAAGUAGAUUGAAAGCUUAUAUGAUAAAAGAUAGACCCAGGGGCCAUAGGUUUCACUAGUGGCUUCUCUCAAGAUAGCAUAAGUAUUACGGUGGGUGAACAAAUUACUGUCGAGCAAUUGAUAGAAAAGCGAAUAAUUAUGAGAUUAUCUAGGCAUGAUCAUGUAUAUAGGCAUCACGUCCGUGACGAGUAGACCGACUCCUGCCUGCAUCUACUACUAUUACUCCACACAUCGACCGACUCCUGCCUGCAUCUAGAGUAUUAAGUUCAUAAGAACAAAGUAACGCAUUAAGAAAGAUGACAUGAUGUAGAGGGAUAAACUCAUGCAAUAUGAUAUAAACCCCAUCUUUUUAUCAUCGAUGUCAACAAUACAAUACGUGCCUUGCUACCCCUGCUAUCACUGGGUAAGGACACCGCAAGAUUGAACCCAAAGCUAAGCACUUCUCCCAUGGCAAGAAAGAUCAAUCUAGUAGGCCAAACCAAACUGAUAAUUCGAAGAGACUUCCAAAGAUAACUCAAUCGUACAUAAAAAAAUUUAGAGGAGAUUCAAAUAUUUCUCAUAGAUAAACUUAAUGAUAAACCCACAAUUCAUCGGAUCUCGACAAACACACCGCAAAAAGAGUUUACAUCGAAUAGAUCUCCACAAGAGAGGGGGACAACAUUGUAUUGAGAUCCAAAAGAGAGAAGAAGCCAUCUAGCUAAUAACUAUGGACCUGAAGGUCUGUGGUAAACUACUCACAACUCAUCGGAGGGGCUAUGGUGUUGAUGUAGAAGCCCUUCGUGGUCGAUUCCCCCUUCGGCGGAGCGCCGGCGGCGGUGGAAUUUUAUUUUCAUUGGCUCCCUGGAUGUUUUUGGGGUACGUGGGUAUAUAUAGGAGGAAGAAGUACGUCGGUGGCCGCUUGUGGGGCCCAGGAGAUAGGGGGCGCACCCAGAGGGGGUGGGCGCGCCCUCCUGUCUCCUGGCCGCCUCGCAAGCUUCUUGACUUGCACUCAAAGUUCUUCGGAUCACGUUCGUUCCAAAAAUCAUGCUCCCGAAGGUUUCAUUCCGUUUGGACUCCGUUUGAUAUUCCUUUUCUUCGAAAUACUGAAAUAGGCAAAAAACAGCAAUAUGGGUUGGGCCUCCGGUUAGUAGGUUAGUCCCAAAAAUGAUAUAAAUGUGUAAAAUAAAGCCCAUAAACAUCCAAAAGGGGUAAUAUAAUAGCAUGGAACAAUAAAAAAUUAUAGAUACGUUGGAGACGUAUCAAGCAUCCCCAAGCUUAAUUCCUGCUCGUCCAUGAGUAGGUAAAUGAUAAAAACAGAAUUUUUGAUAUGGAAUGCUACCUAGCAUAAUUCUCAAUGUAAUUUUCUUUAUUGUGGCAUGAAUUUUCAGAUCCAAAUGAUUCAAUAUAAAAGCUUAUAAAACAUAAAAAUAAUAAUGCUUCGAAGCAUACUAACAAAUAACCAUGUCCUAUCAAAAUAGCAUAGCCAAAUAAAGCUUAUCCCUACAAAAUCAUAUAGUUAGGCCAUGCUUCAUUUUCAUUACACAAAAUACUCCCAUCAUGCACAACCCCGGUUUCAGCCAAGCAAUUGGUUCAUACUUUUUAACACGCUUCAGCUUUUUCAACUCUCACGCAAUACAUGAGCGCAAGCCAUGGACAUAGCACUAUGGUGGUAUAUGGUGGUGGUUGUGAGGACAAAAAGAGGGAGAAGAUAGUCUCACAUCAAUUAGACUUAUCAAUGGGCUAUGGAGAUGCCCAUCAAUAGAUAUCAAUUUGAGUGAGUAGGGAUUUCCAUGCAACGGAUGCACUAGAGCUAUAAAUUUAUGAAAGGUCAACAAAAGAAACUAAGUGGGUGUCCAUCCAACUUGCUUGCUCACGAAGACCUAGGGCAUUUUGAGGAAGCCCAUCAUUUGAAUAUACAAGCCAAGUUCUAUAAUGAAAAAUUCCCACUUAGUAUAUGAAAGUGACAACAUAGGAGACUCUCUAUCAUGAAGAUCAUGGUGCUACUUUGAAGCACAAGUGUGGAAAAAGAGAUAGUAGCAUUGUCCCUUCUUUCUUUUUCUCUCAUUUUACUUAUUUAUUCAUUUUUCUUUUCUUUUUUUCUUUAUUCUUUUUUUUCUUUUUUUCUUUGGCCUUUUUUUCUUUUUGGCUUUUUUUUCUUUUUAAAGUCCGAAGUCUCAUCCCGACUUGUGGGGGAAUCAUAGUCUUCAUCAUCCUUCCCUCACUGAGACAAUGCUCUAAUAAUGAAGAUCAUCACACUUUUAUUGAUUUACAACUCAAGAAUUACAACUCAAAUCUAGAACAAGAUAUGACUCUAUAUGAAUGCCUCCAGCGGUGUACCGGGAUAUGCAAUGAAACAAGAGCGACAUGUAAGAAAAUUAUGAAGGUGGCCUUGCCACAAAUAUGAUGUCAACUACAUGAUCAUGCAAAGAGCAAUAUGACAAUGAUGAAGUGUGUCAUAGUAAACAGAACAGUGGAAAGUUGCAUGGCAAUAUAUCUCAGAAUGGCUUUGGAAAUGCCAUAAUAGGUAGGUAUGGUGGCUGUUUUGAGGAAGGUAAAUAAUGGGUGCAUGAUACUGGCGAAAGUUGCGCGAUAUAAUAGAGGCUAGCAAAGUGGAAGGAUGAGUGUGCGUAUAUCCAUGGACUCACAUUAGUCAUAAAGAACUCAUAUACUUAUUACAAAAUCCUACUUGCCCUCAAUACUAUGCAUGCUCCUAGGGGAAGGGUUGGUAGGAUCUAACCAUCACGCGAUCUCGACCACCACUCAUAAGGUAGACAAUUAAAAGAGCACCUCAUGCAACAAAUUUGUCACACAACUUUUACCAUACGUGCAUGCUACGGGACUUGCCAACUUCAACACAAGUAUUUCUCAAUUUCAUAAUUACCCACUAGCAUGACUCUAACAUUACUACCUCUAUAUCUCAAAACAAUUAUCAAGCAUCAAAUUGAUCAUAGCAUCCAAUUCACUUCCUAUGAUAGUUUUUAUUAUACCCAACUUGGAUGCUCAUCAUUCUAGGACCAAUUUUAUAACCAUAGCAAAUACCAUGCUGUUCUAAAAGACUCUCAAAAUAAUAUAAGUAAAGCAUGAGAUACUAGCAAUUUCUUCAAAAUUAAGCCACCGUCGUGCUCUAAAAGAUAUAAGUGAAGCACUAGAGCAAAAACUAUCAAGCUCAAAAGAUAUAAGUGAAGCACAUAGAGUAUUCUAGCAAAUUCUAAUCAAGUGGGAUUCUCCCAAAAGGUGUGUACAGCAAGGAUGAUUGUGGUAAACUAAAAAGCAAAGACUAAUAUAAUACAUGACGCUCCAAGCAAAACACAUAUCAUGUGGCGAAUAAAAAUACAGCUCCAAGUAAAGUUACCAAUUAAUGAAGACGAAAGAGGGGAUGCCUUCCCGGGGCAUCCCCAAGCUUAGGCUUUUGGCUAUUCUUGAAUAUCUUGGGGUGCCUUGGGAAUCCCCAAGCUUAGGCUCUUGCCACUCCUUAUUCCAUAGUCCAUCAAAGCUUUACCCAAAACUUGAAAACUUCACAACACAAAACUCAACAGGAAAUCUUAUAAGCUCCGUUAGUGAAAGAAAACAAAACCACCACAUAAGGUACUGUAAUGAACUCAUUCUUUAUUUAUUUUGGUGUUAAACCUACUGUAUUCCAACUUCUCUAUGGUUUAUAAACUAUUUUACUAGCCAUAGAUGCAUCAAAAUAAGCAAACAACACACGAAAAACAGAAUCUGUCAAAAACAGAACAAUCUGUAGCAAUCUGUAACUAACGCAAACUUCUGGAACUUUAAAAAUCCUACCAAAAUAGGAAGUCCUGGAAAAUUUGUCUAUUGAUCAGCAGCAAAAAAUAAUCAACGCAAAAGCACGUUUCUGUGAUUUAACAAAACUAAUUUCAUGCGUGCAAAGUUUCAGUUUUUCAGCAGAAUCAAAUCAACUAUCAUUAUAGGUUAUCCUAUAGGUUCUACUUGGCACAAACACUACUUAAAAGAUAAAAACACAUCUAAGCAGAAGGUAGAUGCAAAAUUUAUUACUAAACAGGAACAAAAACAAAAAACACAAAUAAAAUUGGGUUGCCUCGCAACUAGCGCUAUCGUUUAACGCCCCUAGCUAGGCAUAAAAGCGAAGAUAGAUCUAAGUAGUGCCAUCUUUGGUACUCAAUUCAUAAGUAGCUCGCAUGAUAGAUUCAUAAGGUAAUUUGACUUUAUUUCUUGGAAAGUGCUCCAUGCUUUUCCUUAAUGGAAAUUGGAAUCUAAUAUUCCCUUCCUUCAUAUUAAUAAUCGCACCAAUCGUUCUAAGGAAAGGUCUACCAAGAAUAAUAGGGCAAGAAAGAUUGCAAUCUAUAUCAAGAACGAUAAAAUCUACGGGCACCUUCUAUUUGCAACAAUGAGAACAUCAUUUAUCCUUCCCAUUGGCUUUUUAAUGGUGGAAUCUGCAAGGUGCAAAUUUAAAGAGCAAUCAUCAAGAUCAUGGAAACCUAGAAUAUCACAUAAAGUUUUCGGAAUCGUGGAAACACUAGCACCCAAAUCACACAAGGCAAAACACUCAUGAUCUUUAAUUCUAAUCUUUAUAGUGGGUUCCCACUCAUCAUUAAGUUUUCUAGGUAUAGAAACUUCCAAAUUAAGUUUUUCAUCAUAAGAUUGCAUCAAGGCAUCAACGAUAUGUUUGGUAAAAGCUUUAUUUUGACUAUAAGCAUGAGGAGAAUUAAUAACGGAUUGCAAAAAGGAAAUACAACCUUCUAAAGAAUUAUUAUCAUAAUAAAAUUCCUUGAAAUUCGAGAGAGUGGGUUCAAUACUAUUUAAAGUCAUGACCUCUCCAAUCCCACUUUUACCAAAUUUAGCAUCAAGAUCUAAAAACUCCGAAUUCUUGGGACGCCUUCUAACUAAAGUUGACUAAUCUCCAGUCCCAUUAUUAUCAAGAUUCAUAUUGCAAAACAAAGAUCUAAUAGGAGACACAUCAAUAACUUUAAGAUCUUCAUCAUUAUUUUCAUUGAAACUAGAAGAACACGCCUUUACAAAGCAAUCUUUCUUAGCACGCAAUGUAUCGGUUCUUUCCUUGCACUCAUCAAUGGAAAUUUUCAUUGCUUUGAGAGACUCAUUGAUAUCAUGCUUAGGAGGAGAAGAUCUAUGUUUAAGAGAAUCAACAUCAAGCGAAAGUCUAUCAACGUCCUAGCCAAAUCAUCAACUUUAAGCAAUUUAUCUUCAAGCAAGGCAUUAAAAUUCUUUUGAGAAAUCAUAAAUUAUUUCACACUAUUCUCAAAAUUAGAGGGCAUCUUAUUAAAAUUACCAUAAGAAUUAUUGUAGGAAUUUCCAUAAUUAUUAGAGGAAUUACUAGGGAACGGUCUAGAAUUGAAGUUUCCUCUGUAAGCAUUGUUACCGAAACUAUUCCUACCAACAAAAUUCACAUCCAUAGAUUCAUUAUUAUUCUCAAUCAAAGUAGACAAAGGCAUAUCAUUGGGAUCAAGAGGAAUAUUUUUAGUAGCAAACAACUUCAUAAGUUCAUCCAUCUUUCCACUCAAAACAUUGAUUUCUUCUAUAGCAUGAACUUUUUUACUAGAAGAUCUUUCGGUGUGCCAUUGAGAAUAAUUAGCCAUAAUAUUAUCAAGAAGUUUUGUAGCAUCUCCUAACGUUAUUUCCAUAAACGUGCCUCCCGCGGCCGAAUCAAAAAGAUUUCUAGAAGCAAAGUUCAAACCGGCAUAAAUUUUUUGUAUGAUCAUCCAUAAAUUCAAACCAUGAGUAGGGCAAUUGCGAAUCAUCAAUUUCAUUCUUUCCCAAGAUUGGGCAACAUGCUCAUGAUCAAGUUGUUUAAAAUUCAUAAUAUCGUUCCUAAGAGUGAUAAUUUUAGCGGGAGGAAAAUACUUAGAGAUAAAAGCAUAUUUGCACUUGUUCCAAGAAUCAAUACUAUUUUUAGGCAAAGACGAAAACCAAACUUAAGCACGAUCUCUAAGUGAAAACGGAAAUAACUUCAAUUUCACAAUAUCAUUAUCCGUAUCUUUCUUAUUUUGCAUAUCACACAAAUCAACAAAGUUGUUUAGAUGAGUAGCGGCAUCUUCACUAGGAAGGCCGGCGAAUUGAUCUUUCAUCACAAGAUUCAGCAAAGCAGUAUUGAUUUCACAAGACUCAACAUCAUUAAGAGGAGCAAUCGGAGUACUAAGGAAAUCAUUAUUAUUGGUAUUGGAGAAAUCACACAAUUUGGUAUUAUCUUGCGCCAUGGCAACAAGUAAUCCAACACACAAGCAAACAGAAAAGGCAAGCGAAAGAGAGAGAGAUUGGGAAAGAGAGGGCAAAUAAAACGGCAAGGGUGAAGUGGGUGAGAGGAAAACGAGAGGCAAAUGGCAAAUAGUGUAAAUGCGAGGGAGAUGAGUUUGUGAUGGGUACUUGGUAUGUCUUGACUUGAGCGAAGACCUCCCCGGCAACGGCGCCAGAAAUCCUUCUUGCUACGUCUUGAUCUUGCGUUGGUUUUCCUUGAAGAAGAAAGGGUGAUGCAGCAAUAGUAGCAUAAGUAUUUCCCUCAAUUUUCGAGAACCAAGGUAUCAAUCCAGUAGGAGGCUCCUCAAAAGUCCCACGCACCUACACAAACAAACAAAAAACUCGCAACCAACACAAUAAAGGGGUUGUCAAUCCCUUCACGGCCUCUUGCGAAAGUGAGAUCUGAUAGAGAUAGUAUGAUAAGAUAAAUAUAUUUUUGGUAUUUUAUAAUAUAGAUGCAAAAAGUACAGAUGCAAAUAAAAGUAGAUUGAAAGCUUAUAUGAUAAAAGAUAGACCCGGGGGCCAUAGGUUUCACUAGUGGCUUCUCUCAAGAUAGCAUAAGUAUUACGAUGGGUGAACACAGUACUAUUGAGCAAUUGAUAGAAAAGCGAAUAAUUAUGAGAUUAUCUAGGCAUGAUCAUGUAUAUAGGCAUCACGUCCGUGACAAGUAGACCGACUCCUGCCUGCAUGUACUACUAUUACUCCACACAUCGAUCGACUCCUGCCUGCAUCUAGAGUAUUGAGUUCAUAAGAACAGAGUAACGCAUUAAGAAAGAUGACAUGAUGUAGAGGGAUAAACUCAUGCAAUAUGAUAUAAACCCCUUCUUUUUAUCCUCGAUGGCAACAAUACAAUACGUGCCUUGCUGCCCCUGCUGUCACUGGGUAUGGACACCGCAAGAUUGAACCCAAAUCUAAGCACUUCUCCCAUGGCAAGAAAGAUCAAUCUAGUAGGCCAAACCAAAUUGAUAAUUCGAAGAGACUUGCAAAGGUAACUCAAUCAUACAUAAAAGAUUUCAGAGGAGAUUCAAAUAUUUCUCAUAGAUAAACUUGAUCAUAAACCCACAAUCCAUCGGAUCUCAACAAACACAACGCGAAAAGAGUUUACAUCAAAUAGAUCUCCACAAGAGAGGGGGAGAACAUUGUAUUGAGAUCCAAAAAGAGAGAAUAAGCCAUCUAGCUAAUAACUAUGGACCCGGAGGUCUAUGGUAAACUACUCACAACUCAUCGGAGGGGCUAUGGUGUUGAUGUAGAAGCCCUCCAUGGUUGAUUCCCCCUCCGGAGGAGCGCCGGUGAAGGCUCCAAGAUGGGAUCUCGCGGAUACAGAAGGUUACGGCGGUGGAAAUUGUUUUUUGUUGGCUCCCUGGAUGUUUUCGGGGUACGUGGGUAUAUAUAGGAGGAAUAAGUACGUCGCUGGCUGCCUGUGAGGCCCAGGAGAUAGGGGCGCGCCUAGAGGGGGUGGGCGCGCCCUCCUGUCUCCUGGCCGCCUCGCAAGCUUCUUGACUUGCACUCCAAGUUCUUCGGAUCACGUUCGUUCCAAAAAUCACGCUCCCGAAGGUUUCAUUCCGUUUGGAUUCCGUUUGAUAUUCCUUUUCUUCAAAAUACUGAAAUAGGCACAAAAAAGCAAUACGGGCUGGGCCUCCGGUUAGUAGGUUUGUCCCAAAAAUGAUAUAAAUGUGUAAAAUAAAGCUCAUAAACAUCCAAAAGGGGUAAUAUAAUAGCAUGGAACAAUCAAAAACUAUAGAUACGUUGGAGAUGUAUCACCAUGCAGGCGAUGGUUGCCAUAUAGGAACUCACUCGCAUGAGGCGCUUCCAUCUGUGGGCCCGCGAGGUCGUCGUCUCUCACUUUCACCCAACGAGAGAGAUGCACAUUUGACAAACAAGGAGGAAUAAUUUUUUAGGGAUGUGUUAGGGUAUGAGUAUAUAUAUAGUACGUGUCGAAAGGGGGAUGAGACCAACAUAUACUAGGUGUGACAUGGACCUCAUUCUGUGUGGGGACUUUGCGGUUUUUAAGGCAAAUGCCACAUCAAAAGGUUAUACAUUAGGUAUUGAAAACAUCACAACCACACACCUCUCCAUAUAUAUGUUUUGGCACACAUGCAAUCGAUGGUGGUUGUCAUGUGGCAUUCACUCACGUGGUUAUCAGCGUUGCUUCCAUCUGUCGGCCCGCUUGGUCCAUCACUUUCACCGACAGUGAAAGAGGCUAAUUAUUUUGACUUAGGAGGGGAUUAAUUUUUUGUUUGUCUCGCGAUAUAGGUCAUGAUAUGAGAUUACAUAUAUAAUAGCGCAUGUGUACACAUNNNNNNNNNNNNNNNNNNNNNNNNNNNNNNNNNNNNNNNNNNNNNNNNNNNNNNNNNNNNNNNNNNNNNNNNNNNNNNNNNNNNNNNNNNNNNNNNNNNNNNNNNNNNNNNNNNNNNNNNNNNNNNNNNNNNNNNNNNNNNNNNNNNNNNNNNNNNNNNNNNNNNNNNNNNNNNNNNNNNNNNNNNNNNNNNNNNNNNNNNNNNNNNNNNNNNNNNNNNNNNNNNNNNNNNNNNNNNNNNNNNNNNNNNNNNNNNNNNNNNNNNNNNNNNNNNNNNNNNNNNNNNUCUUACUCUGUGUGGGGACCUGUGCGAUUUUGAAUGCAUGCACUACAUUAAUAUGCAUGCGUCACGCACCUCCAUAAAUAUGUUUGGGACACAUGCAUGCAAUUGUUGUCUUUGGACGCUCUCACUUGAUUGGUUAUGGGCGGCAAGCCUAUAUAAAUUUGUGGGCCCGCGUGGACGUCCAUCAUUUUGACCGACGUCGAGAACAGUUACCAGGGUGGAUUCUUCUUCUUUUGUUCUUGUUACCAUAUUAGUAGGUCGAUCAUUCUAGGCCUAAUUAAGUUUGAGCACAUGCAUGCUAUGCAUCGGCAACCCUCGCUCAGUGUGGGGAUUUUACGGUUCCAAAGCAUGCAUGGUGCCACAUCAAAUUUGCACAUUGCGUAUUCAAACACCACACACACCUCUUCCAUAUACAUAACUAGUUGACCCGUUGCGCCAAAUGGCGCAGAGACCUGCUGCAAACAUAUUGUCGAUGAAAAUAGUUUCAUGCUGCAAGAACCUUCAACUAAAUCAUGCUAUUCUUUAAACAUGUUUAUUACGUUGUUAAAUAAUAGUCUGGGAAAAGGGAAACUUUGCAUAAUAUGAAUAUCUCAGUUUGAAAAUAUGGGCACUAUGAUGAGAGAGUAAAGUUGGCAUGAUUGUAUUUUUUUAGCAAGUUUGGAAACAUGGUUAUCAUGAUGAGAAACCUGGCUAUGCAUAUUUUUCCUAAAAAAGAGGGAAAAGGAUAAGAAACCUAAGAAAAAACAUGUCUUUGUUGUGCAUAUACGGAGAUAUAGGGAUCAGGAGGUAUUAGGAUAGCUCAUAUGUUAUUUAGCCCAACCCACGUAGAGCGAUGCAUGUGGCCUGUGAGGAGCUGAAUAAGAAACGGCAGGGGACAGAGCGAGUGAAGACUGUCUAUCCCCUUCCUUUCUUUCUCGGUUCGUCAGCUGGGUAACAAAUGGCGCAGAAAUUCCAUGUUUUAGUUGUUUUAGUAGCGGGCAAGCAUAUAUGAUAACAAAUUUAAUCCCCUUUAAUAAAAUAGAGACUUGUCAUCUACAAUGAGAUAUACCUACACAUUUUAAUUUGGUAGUAGAGUCCCAUUUCAAGACCAUGUCAUGUUGAAAAAAUGAGUAUUUUUCAGUAAUCUCCCGUUGCGCCAAAUUGCGAACACGCCAUACGUGCUUUGAAAAUAUUCCAUUUAUCAGUGUUGAGCAAGCACAUAUGGUUACUAUUCUAACCACUAUAUAAACAAAAUGAACGGGGACUUGUAUAAGGGUAACUGAAGUUCAAAAGAAAAAAGUGUUAUAUGUGUUGUUUUUCUGAUGAUUUGGGUCUUGGAACACCUGAAUAGGAAAGCAUAGUAUUGCAAGUAAGAAAAUGUGAAACAUUGCUAAUAACUUGCCUCAUAUACAUAAUAGUUUUAGGCCAUACAAGCAGUGAGGAAAAGAAAAACAGUCUAUAUGUGAUGAAGCAAGCCUAAGUCAAAUAGGUAAUGCCCAUACAACCAAAUUCAUUACAAUGGAUGGAUUUCAGUCCUAAAACUGGAAAGUAAAUAUGCAUAACAGAAGUGAACCGUAGAACGUGGUUUAUACAACUUCAUGAAUAUACUUAAUAUCCUGGCAGCACCAUAUCCAUACUACUUGAAGAAGUAAAUAAUCAAAUGACAAUCACACAUGAGUUGUAGGGUUUUAUCGUUUCCACUUUACAAUCCGAACAAAACUAUAUAAUUGAUCUGCAAGUAAUUACAUGUCAUGAUAAUAGCUUCGACAAAUAUCCAUCUUUUAUGGCAUAAACACAUAUAUAUUGAUUACAGUCAGUAAUGAGAAGUGAUGAUAGCUCACUAUAACAUCGUGCACACGCUUACUUUUACCAAAGCGCUGUUAACAGAGAGCCUCAAUCGAACCCUUAUGGUAUUAGCUAAGGGGAGGUUUCGUGUGAUUUUGAUAUUUCUCCAGCUUACGUUUUUCGAGUUGCCACGACUAUGGUGGAUGUCUUAAGAUUGUCAGAAUCAACAUUCCAAUAGUAAUGGGUAUAAUACAGUGUAGGAAACAUGGAAUUCUAACUAUAGCUAGACCCAAUCAAUAAGCAAUAUAGAUUUGCCCCAAUGGCAGUGUUAACAUGAAAAUAACGGAAGGUGAGAGAUAAAAGCUAGGUGGUAGGACUAUAAAGAGUGGCUGCAAGUCAGCGUCUCUAGUAUUCAGUCACAACGACAUUCAACUCCAGCCAGAGCAAUUCUCAGCUAUGCUUCCUUCUCAGUAGCACAAUAGCUGAAAAAUGUAACUUUCUUAAUAACUGUGCAUCAAUACCGCAAAUACACACUUACUGUGAUAGAUUCCAAACUUAGUACAAAUUCCCCUCUCCAGUUCAUCUUGAAAUUAAGAGUUUAGAAGAAAGUAAGAUUUCCGUUUGUGCUAUACCAAUCAGGAUACAUUUACUGUCGAAAACUAUAUAUAUAGAUGAUCAUGCGGCCAGAGCUAGCGCUCAGCAACAAUAGUCCAGUUCUCUUUUGUCCGCCACUUUCUCAAACUGAAGAUGAAUUGCUCGUUCCUAUCUCUAUGCCGUUACACAUGAGCAGACGACAUUUAGCACGGAAGGCUGAAAUUUCUAGGCAUCAAUCUUGUGAACAGAUGAGUUAUGAAGCAAAAGAUACAUACUGCAGAGUAAAACUACAUGAGAAAUGAUUAGUGGAAAACAAUAUAAUUUGUUUAUUGUAAGAACUGAAAACACCGGAGAACCAAUAUACUUCUUAUAGUAAUAAUUCAUAUCCAAAAAGUAAUCGAUUAUGGGAGCAUCUAACGCUGAUUUAAGCAGACAUUUCAUAAAAACAUGUCAAAGAAUUAUCAAUUAUAUCCAACUAAUUACUAAAACGGGAUUUACUGUCAGUAUACAUCUAUAUUCAGUUAGAAAUUAUGGAGAUCCAAGGAGAAUUAUCUAGGUUGUAUGACAUGAGUGCAUAAAUCUUACAAAGGCUAAUUAAUCAUCAGAUACCUUAACAUCUCAAAAAGCUUAAUCCUUAGAAUAUUUCCAUAUCUAGAAUGAAAAUAAUCACAUCAUGUAAUUACUAAAACAGGUACAAAAUACAGUCAAGUCGAUUUUUCAUUUUUACAGAAUAAUUGGUGAGCAUGACAUUGAGCUAUUGUAUCACUAAAAUGUAGCAGCCAAUGGGACCAGCAGAAACCUAUACAUCUAGAAGAAAAUAGUAUCCAAAAUUGUACCAUUGAAGGGAAAUGAUACUCAGACCAAGAUAAAGUCUGCUUCACGGCCACACUCACACAUUCAGUUACAAUCAGCUUAGUCGGCCUGUGAGAGGAGCCUGUGUGUACAUAUUGGACACUACCUGGAUACAUAUAGUUUGUUGUGAUGGAAGUCUCGGGCUCGUAAUGUGGAGAAGGGAACUGAUACUCAGACCAAGAUAAAGUCUGCUUCACGGCCACACACACACAUUCAGUUACAAUCAGCUUAGUCGGCCUGUGAGAGGAGCCUGUGUGUACAUAUUGGACACUACCUGGAUACAUAUAGUUUGUUGUGAUGGAAGUCUCGGGCUCGUAAUGUGGAUAUGGAUGACUCAAGCAGAGCGACAACAUGUGUACACAUAGAAAAUCAUAUAGUGGUUACUUAUCAAACUCAGUUAUUGUCUCAACUGGAAACAUGCAAGCGGAAUUCCGAGAAGAGAUAAUGUCGCAAUCAUCCAAAUGUGCGAUUAAAAAAGUGGUAUGAAAUUGAAGGAUUUCUAUUAACUUGCAAAAUCAGAAUAGUAUUGUCAAAGUGCAACAUUAUUUCAAUUUACUAAAAACUCAAAAAUGCUUGACCGUUAAGAACUUCUUUGGAAGUCAAGUUAAAAGUCCAGGUGGAUUAAUAUUCUUAGGAUAACUGGCCAAGUAUAUGUGCUAUAUUGAGUCUUCAAUUUAGGUUCUGUAUAUAUAGAUUCCUAGCCAAAAAUUACAGCCUAUACUAAUACUCAUCCAAAUGUGCGAUUAAAAAAGUGGUAUGAAACUGAAGGAUUUCUAUUAACUUGCAAAAUCAGAAUAGUAUUGUCAAAGUGCAACAUUAUUUCAAUUUACUAAAAACUCAAAAAUGCUUGAUCGUUAAGAACUUCUUUGGAAGUCAAGUUAAAAGUCCAGGUGGAUUAAUAUUCUUAGGAUAACUGGCCAAGUAUAUGUGCUAUAUUGAGUUUUCAGUUUAGGUUCUGUAUAUAUAGAUUCCUAGCCAAAAAUUACAGCCUAUACUAAUACUGUAAUACAUGACUGGAUAUCAAGAUCACCAGGAUAAAUAGUUUCCUUAUAGAAUCACGUAUGGUUGUGCAGCUAAUUAAACAUCUAGAUAAAUAUAAAGGAUAUACCUUCUUUUCAUCUGACAAUCUCCCGUAAUCAACCACACUUGUAAUAUCUUGGAAGGAGUUUGUGCCUGUAAUUGGGAGGGUCUUGUGAAAUGUUUAAUCUAGUUAUCCUUGCCUUCCUCUGUAGAUAACCAGGUGCAGUACUGAUCAAACAAAAAAAAUAUUCACAAGAAAUGAAAAGAGGGUUCAACAUUGCAAACAAAAAAUAGACCUGACAGAAAAUCAAAAGCUUAUAGACACAAACACAAAUAGUUGGUACCCAGAUCUUCAGAUCGGAAAUGACUUAGAUUUAUUUUUUCCUUAGAUUGCAAGGAUCAGAUCAUUAGAUUAGUUAGUACUGCUCACAAAAGGGUCCAAGUGCAAGUACUCACACGCCAAUGGAAGGCAGACCACGUGCACGAUGACACACGACCUGCUCUAUUUUCUUCAUGCUUUUUGCUUCAUUCCCAUACAAUGCCUGAAACCAGCAAGCACCAGGAUGGGGAUUAGAACUCUGAAUUUACACGCAGAUUAAGGAGAAACACACACACAAAGCUUCGAUACAAAGUUCAGUUAGGGUCCUCUCCGAGGAAAAGGUAUCCCCUC
Molecule: long non-coding RNA, 29653 nt
Filed under: Triticum aestivum (bread wheat)
Lineage: Eukaryota; Viridiplantae; Streptophyta; Magnoliopsida; Poales; Poaceae
Description: long non-coding RNA (TAES_LNC007186)
Source: RNAcentral